UACGUAGGCAGCAAGCGUUGUUCGGAGUUACUGGGUUUAAAGGGUGCGUAGGCGGCCAUGUAAGUCAGGAGUGAAAGUUUGCGGCUCAACCGUAAAAUUGCUUUUGAUACUGCAUGGCUGGAAUCAGGAUGAGGUCAGCGGAAUGUGGCAUGUAGCGGUGAAAUGCAUAGAUAUGCCAUAGAACACCAAUUGCGAAGGCAGCUGGCUAGACCUGUAUUGACGCUGAGGCACGAAAGCGUGGGGAGCGAACAGG
Molecule: ribosomal RNA, 253 nt
Filed under: uncultured bacterium
Lineage: Bacteria
Description: partial 16S ribosomal RNA
Rfam family: Bacterial small subunit ribosomal RNA
Source: RNAcentral